This 460-nucleotide ribosomal RNA is filed under the name uncultured bacterium. Its description in RNAcentral is "partial 16S ribosomal RNA". It matches the Rfam family "Bacterial small subunit ribosomal RNA", at positions 338 to 795 of the family's 1533-position model. The record is from RNAcentral.
CCUACGGGAGGCAGCAGUGAGGAAUAUUGGUCAAUGGACGAGAGUCUGAACCAGCCAAGUAGCGUGAAGGAUGACUGCCCUAUGGGUUGUAAACUUCUUUUAUAAAGGAAUAAAACGAGGCACGUGUGCCUUUUUGCAUGUACUUUAUGAAUAAGGAUCGGCUAACUCCGUGCCAGCAGCCGCGGUAAUACGGAGGAUCCGAGCGUUAUCCGGAUUUAUUGGGUUUAAAGGGUGCGUAGAUGGGUUGUUAAGUCAGUUGUGAAAGUUUGGGGCUCAACCGUAAAAGUGCAAUUGAUACUGGCAGACUUGAGUACAGUUGAGGUAGGCGGAAUGCGUGGUGUAGCGGUGAAAUGCUUAGAUAUCACGCAGAACCCCGAUUGCGAAGGCAGCUUACUAAACUGUGACUGACAUUGAGGCUCGAAAGUGUGGGUAUCAAACAGGAUUAGAUACCCUUGUAGUC